RNAcentral lists this ribosomal RNA (877 nucleotides) under uncultured archaeon. RNAcentral describes it as "bacterial SSU rRNA". It matches the Rfam family "Archaeal small subunit ribosomal RNA", at positions 1 to 879 of the family's 1478-position model. The record is from RNAcentral.
UCCGGUUGAUCCUGCCAGAGGUUACUGCUAUCGGAGUUCGAUUAAGCCAUGCGAGUCUAAAGGUUUCUUCGGAAACCUUGGCGGACUGCUCAGUAACACGUGGAUAACCUACCCUUGGGACUGGGAUAACCCCGGGAAACUGGGGAUAAUACCGAAUAGAUCAGGGAUGCUGGAAUGCGCCUUGAUCCAAAGCUUCGGCGCCCAAGGAUGGGUCUGCGGCCUAUCAGGUAGUAGUGGGUGUAACGUACCUACUAGCCGACGACGGGUACGGGUUGUGAGAGCAAGAGCCCGGAGAUGGAUUCUGAGACACGAAUCCAGGCCCUACGGGGUGCAGCAGGCGCGAAACCUUUACAAUGUGCGAAAGCAUGAUAAGGGAACUCCGAGUGCCAGUAUCUAAUACUGGCUGUCCUUGUGCCUAAAACGCACAAGAUAGCAAGGGCCGGGUAAGACCGGUGCCAGCCGCCGCGGUAACACCGGCGGCCCGAGUGGUAGCCGCUAUUAUUGGGUCUAAAGGGUCCGUAGCCGGUUCGAUGAGUCCUCUGGGAAAUCUGGUUGCUUAACAAUCAGACUGCCAAGGGAUACUAUCGAACUUGAGACCGGGAGAGGUAAGAGGUACUUCAGGGGUAGGAGUGAAAUCUUGUAAUCCCUGGGGGACCAUCUGUGGCGAAGGCGUCUUACCAGAACGGGUCUGACGGUGAGGGACGAAAGCUGGGGGCGCAAACCGGAUUAGAUACCCGGGUAGUCCCAGCCGUAAACGAUGCUCGCUAUGUGUCAGGUACGGUGUGACCGUAUCUGGUGCCGUAGGGAAGCCGUGAAGCGAGCCACCUGGGAAGUACGGUCGCAAGACUGAAACUUAAAGGAAUUGGCGGGGGAGCAC